GACGAACGCUGGCGGCGUGCUUAACACAUGCAAGUCGAACGGAAAGGCCUCUUUCGGGGGGUACUCGAGUGGCGAACGGGUGAGUAACACGUGAGUAACCUGCCCUUGACUUUGGGAUAACUUCAGGAAACUGGGGCUAAUACCGGAUAGGAGCUCCUGCUGCAUGGUGGGGGUUGGAAAGUUUCGGCGGUGGGGGGUGGACUCGCGGCUUAUCAGCUUGUUGGUGGGGUAGUGGCUUACCAAGGCUUUGACGGGUAGCCGGCCUGAGAGGGUGACCGGCAACAUUGGGACUGAGAUACGGCCCAGACUCCUACGGGAGGCAGCAGUGGGGAAUAUUGCACAAUGGGUGGAAGCCUGAUGCAGCAACGCCGUGUGCGGGAUGACGGCCUUCGGGUUGUAAACCGCUUUCGCUCAUGACGAAGCUUUGUGUGACGGUAGUGGGUAAAGAAGCACCGGCUAACUACGUG
RNAcentral lists this ribosomal RNA (467 nucleotides) under uncultured bacterium. RNAcentral's name for it is "partial 16S ribosomal RNA". It matches the Rfam family "Bacterial small subunit ribosomal RNA", at positions 28 to 507 of the family's 1533-position model. The record is from RNAcentral.